RNAcentral lists this small nuclear RNA (268 nucleotides) under Nannospalax galili (Upper Galilee mountains blind mole rat). RNAcentral's name for it is "7SK RNA (ENSNGAG00000008988.1)". It matches the Rfam family "7SK RNA", at positions 7 to 283 of the family's 331-position model. From Rfam's summary of the family: 7SK was discovered as an abundant small nuclear RNA in the mid-70s but a possible function has only recently been suggested. Two independent studies have found that 7SK RNA binds the CDK9/cyclin T complex (known as elongation factor P-TEFb). The record is from RNAcentral. Lineage: Eukaryota; Metazoa; Chordata; Mammalia; Rodentia; Spalacidae.
GAGGAUGAUUUGGUGAGACGUCUGUCACCCCAUUGAUCACUAGGGUUUAUCUAGCUAAUCUGAGUGGCUAGGUAGGUGUCUCCUUCCCUCACCACAACUUGGAUGUCCCUCCUCAAACUGUGGACUUGAUCAGAGAGAUGAACUUUACAGACAGAGGAGGGUCAUUCUUUGGUCAGGGGUAUGGGACUAGCUAUGCUUCACUGUUAGAGCCUCCAAUCAAGUUCUCAAGAACAAGACUGAUAACUCAGAGUGUGGAGCCUUGGACCCA